GGCGUGGUACUUUAAAGAAAAGAUUUGAUUUGCAUUCAAAAAUUAGGAUUUUUCCUUUACGCUA
Molecule: transfer RNA, 64 nt
Filed under: Teredothyra matocotana
Lineage: Eukaryota; Metazoa; Mollusca; Bivalvia; Myida; Teredinidae
Description: tRNA-Ala
Source: RNAcentral